RNAcentral lists this ribosomal RNA (253 nucleotides) under uncultured bacterium. RNAcentral describes it as "partial 16S ribosomal RNA". It matches the Rfam family "Bacterial small subunit ribosomal RNA", at positions 524 to 776 of the family's 1533-position model. The record is from RNAcentral.
UACGUAGGGGGCUAGCGUUGUCCGGAUUUAUUGGGCGUAAAGAGCGUGUAGGCGGCCAGGUAGGUCCGGUGUGAAAACUCGAGGCUUAACCUCGAGAUGUCAUCGGAAACCAUCUGGCUAGAGUCCGGAAGAGGAAAGUGGAAUUCCUGGUGUAGCGGUGAAGUGCGCAGAUAUCAGGAAGAACACCAAUGGCGAAAGCAGCUUUCUGGGACGGUACUGACGCUGAGACGCGAAAGCGUGGGGAGCGAACAGG